AUUUAAAUAGUUUAAUUAAAAUAUUAAUUUGUGGAAUUAGAGAUUAUGUAAUAUAUUUAAAUA
Molecule: transfer RNA, 63 nt
Filed under: Sitobion avenae (English grain aphid)
Lineage: Eukaryota; Metazoa; Arthropoda; Insecta; Hemiptera; Aphididae
Description: tRNA-His
Source: RNAcentral